This 219-nucleotide ribosomal RNA is filed under the name uncultured bacterium. Its description in RNAcentral is "partial 16S ribosomal RNA". It matches the Rfam family "Bacterial small subunit ribosomal RNA", at positions 524 to 740 of the family's 1533-position model. The record is from RNAcentral.
UACGUAGGGGGGCGAGCGUUGUCCGGAAUCAUUGGGCGUAAAGCGCGUGUAGGCGGCCCGGUAAGUCCGCUGUGAAAGUCCAGGGCUCAACCCUGGGAUGCCGGUGGAUACUGUCGGGCUCGAGUCCGGAAGAGGCGAGUGGAAUUCCUGGUGUAGCGGUGAAAUGGCGUAGAUAUUGGGAGGAACACCAGUGGCGAAGGCGGCUCACUGGACCGGAAC